UAAUUAUUCGGGAUGGCUAGAAAGGCUCGGGGUUAAUUACAAACAACGUGCCUUAGUGUGUGUAUCAUGCAGUGACAGUCCCAGAGAAAAAUGGAUAUAGGCUCAAAGGGGGUUAACGAGGGAUAUAAUUAUUCGGGAUGGCUAGAAAGGCUCGGGGUUAAUUACAAACAACGUGCCUUAGUGUGUGUAUCAUGCAGUGACAGUCCCAGAGAGUC
RNAcentral lists this long non-coding RNA (215 nucleotides) under Lathyrus oleraceus (garden pea). RNAcentral describes it as "Pisum sativum (pea) long non-coding RNA (PSAT_LNC034559)". The record is from RNAcentral. Lineage: Eukaryota; Viridiplantae; Streptophyta; Magnoliopsida; Fabales; Fabaceae.